RNAcentral lists this ribosomal RNA (463 nucleotides) under Vreelandella stevensii. Its description in RNAcentral is "partial 16S ribosomal RNA". It matches the Rfam family "Bacterial small subunit ribosomal RNA", at positions 339 to 795 of the family's 1533-position model. The record is from RNAcentral. Lineage: Bacteria; Pseudomonadati; Pseudomonadota; Gammaproteobacteria; Oceanospirillales; Halomonadaceae.
CUACGGGUGGCUGCAGUGGGGAAUAUUGGACAAUGGGCGAAAGCCUGAUCCAGCCAUGCCGCGUGUGUGAAGAAGGCCUUCGGGUUGUAAAGCACUUUCAGUGGGGAAGAAAGCCUUGGGGCUAAUACCCUCGAGGAAGGACAUCACCCACAGAAGAAGCACCGGCUAACUCCGUGCCAGCAGCCGCGGUAAUACGGAGGGUGCGAGCGUUAAUCGGAAUUACUGGGCGUAAAGCGCGCGUAGGCGGUCUGAUAAGCCGGUUGUGAAAGCCCCGGGCUCAACCUGGGAACGGCAUCCGGAACUGUCAGGCUAGAGUGCAGGAGAGGAAGGUAGAAUUCCCGGUGUAGCGGUGAAAUGCGUAGAGAUCGGGAGGAAUACCAGUGGCGAAGGCGGCCUUCUGGACUGACACUGACGCUGAGGUGCGAAAGCGUGGGUAGCAAACAGGAUUAGAUACCUAGUAGUC